AUGAGGUAGAUAGGUUUGAGGUGGAAGUGCAGUAAUGCAUGGAGCUGACAAAUACUAAUCGGUCGAGGGCUUAUCCUG
RNAcentral lists this ribosomal RNA (78 nucleotides) under Bacillota bacterium. RNAcentral's name for it is "partial 23S ribosomal RNA". It matches the Rfam family "Bacterial large subunit ribosomal RNA", at positions 2847 to 2925 of the family's 2925-position model. The record is from RNAcentral. Lineage: Bacteria; Bacillati; Bacillota.